GCGUAGUGGACGGCUCGGUUCCCGUGUCGAUGAAGGACGUAGCGAAAUACGAAAGGUGUUGCGAAUUGCAAGAUUUCGUGAGUCAAUGAAUAUCCGAAUGCAUUGUCGUCCCUUCGCAGCUUCGG
Molecule: ribosomal RNA, 125 nt
Filed under: Caulerpa taxifolia
Lineage: Eukaryota; Viridiplantae; Chlorophyta; Ulvophyceae; Bryopsidales; Caulerpaceae
Description: 5.8S ribosomal RNA
Rfam family: 5.8S ribosomal RNA
About the family: 5.8S ribosomal RNA (5.8S rRNA) is a component of the large subunit of the eukaryotic ribosome. It is transcribed by RNA polymerase I as part of the 45S precursor that also contains 18S and 28S rRNA.
Source: RNAcentral